This 72-nucleotide transfer RNA is filed under the name Salmo salar (Atlantic salmon). It matches the Rfam family "tRNA". From Rfam's summary of the family: Transfer RNA (tRNA) molecules are approximately 80 nucleotides in length. Their secondary structure includes four short double-helical elements and three loops (D, anti-codon, and T loops). Further hydrogen bonds mediate the characteristic L-shaped molecular structure. tRNAs have two regions of fundamental functional importance: the anti-codon, which is responsible for specific mRNA codon recognition, and the 3' end, to which the tRNAs corresponding amino acid is attached (by aminoacyl-tRNA synthetases). tRNAs cope with the degeneracy of the genetic code in two manners: having more than one tRNA (with a specific anti-codon) for a particular amino acid; and 'wobble' base-pairing, i.e. permitting non-standard base-pairing at the 3rd anti-codon position. Lineage: Eukaryota; Metazoa; Chordata; Actinopteri; Salmoniformes; Salmonidae. The record is from Rfam by way of RNAcentral.
UCCCAUGUGGCUCAGUUGGUAGAGCAUGGUGUUUGCAACGCUAGGGUUGUGGGUUUGAUUCCCAUGGGGGAC